UACGUAGGGUGCGAGCGUUAAUCGGAAUUACUGGGCGUAAAGCGUGCGCAGGCGGUAAUGCAAGACAGAUGUGAGAUCCCCGGGCUCAACCUGGGAACUGCAUUUGUGACUGCAUUGCUGGAGUGCGGCAGAGGGGGAUGGAAUUCCGCGUGUAGCAGUGAAAUGCGUAGAUAUGCGGAGGAACACCGAUGGCGAAGGCAAUCCCCCGGGCCUGCACUGACGCUCAUGCACGAAAGCGUGGGGAGCGAACAGGAUUAGAAACCCUGGUAGU
RNAcentral lists this ribosomal RNA (271 nucleotides) under uncultured bacterium. Its description in RNAcentral is "partial 16S ribosomal RNA". It matches the Rfam family "Bacterial small subunit ribosomal RNA", at positions 524 to 794 of the family's 1533-position model. The record is from RNAcentral.